This 490-nucleotide ribosomal RNA is filed under the name uncultured bacterium. RNAcentral's name for it is "partial 16S ribosomal RNA". It matches the Rfam family "Bacterial small subunit ribosomal RNA", at positions 30 to 507 of the family's 1533-position model. The record is from RNAcentral.
AUUGAACGCUGGCGGCAGGCCUAACACAUGCAAGUCGAACGGUAACAGGAAGAAGCUUGCUUCUUUGCUGACGAGUGGCGGACGGGUGAGUAAUGUCUGGGAAACUGCCUGAUGGAGGGGGAUAACUACUGGAAACGGUAGCUAAUACCGCAUAAUGUCGCAAGACCAAAGAGGGGGACCUUCGGGCCUCUUGCCAUCGGAUGUGCCCAGAUGGGAUUAGCUAGUAGGUGGGGUAACGGCUCACCUAGGCGACGAUCCCUAGCUGGUCUGAGAGGAUGACCAGCCACACUGGAACUGAGACACGGUCCAGACUCCUACGGGAGGCAGCAGUGGGGAAUAUUGCACAAUGGGCGCAAGCCUGAUGCAGCUAUGCCGCGUGUAUGAAGAAGGCCUUCGGGUUGUAAAGUACUUUCAGCUGGGAGGAAGGGAGUAAAGUUAAUACCUUUGCUCAUUGACGUUACCCGCAGAAGAAGCACCGGCUAACUCCGUG